This 1205-nucleotide long non-coding RNA is filed under the name Cricetulus griseus (Chinese hamster). RNAcentral describes it as "lncRNA (ENSCGRG00015040339.1)". The record is from RNAcentral. Lineage: Eukaryota; Metazoa; Chordata; Mammalia; Rodentia; Cricetidae.
CUCCCCUUCUCCCUUUCCUUUCUCUGGACUCCUCUUGGUUUACUUUUCUACCAAAUGGAGGCUCUCUCGGUCCUCUGUGGGUUUUUUUCUUUUGUUGUUGUUGGUUUGUUUGUUUGUUUGUUUUUUCUCAUUAGCUCUCUUUGCAGUUUCUCUCCUAAAUAAGCCCAAUAGAAGAGCAAGCAUCACUUAGACCAAGCGUCAGGUCACCCACUGCUGGCCACUUCAUGAAGCACUAUCUCCUGGUUUGUGUCUCUAUCCUCAGAGGAAUCAAAGUGAACUACUAAGCACCUGGUACCAACAAGGCCUUGUGGGUAUCCCACCUGCCUGAGACGGAGUCCCACAAGCUAGGCUCUCAUCUCUGGACAUGGGCUUUGGGACAGGCCCUCUCCCCCUACCCAGCUGUCAUUGGCUCACCCAUAGAUGCUUUCUCACCUUAGGGUACACAGACUCCCAAGUCCCCUCUAGGCCGAGAUUAAGGUUCAGUAACGCUUGGUCAAGGGCUGGAUGAACACCGUGCUUCUGCCAAAGCCAACCACCUCAAGACUCUGAGGUUAGCGGGACUCUCUCUACCUCAAGGAACUGGACCCCCCACAGUGGUCUUCCCCCCUACUUGGUGGUCACUAGAUUGGAAGAAGUCCAGACCAUCAUGUCUGCUCUCUAGGUUAGAGCCCGAACCACAGUCCAGAAAAGAGAAUCUAGACCACGGUUCUCUCCAGGCACAUGUGACCACUUAACUCCCCACCAUGACAUUGGACUUUGAGUCCGUCUGGUCAAUAACAGCCAGUGUUAGAGGGGGUGAACUGUGCUCUGCACUGGGACCCAGACAGACACUGGUACACAGAGAAUGGUCUCUUGCACAUUAAUAGUUGAACUUGGUGUGGGCUUUGGGGAGGCUCAGUUUCCUCAUCUGCAGAGUGAGGGGCUUGGAGUGGGAACGCCAUGGAUUCUGCUUUCUAAGCUUCAGCACCAUGACGUUGAUCCACCAGCAGCACAGCUGGCCUCAGCCACCCUCCACAAAGCCAUUCUUGCUCUGGCCUGCUUGGGAAUACGACAGUUAUUCCUGUGUUUGUGUGUGUUUCUCUCCUGGACCAGCCUCGGGGACUUUCCACCCUUCCUGUUCCUCUGCAGACAUUUGUUUUCAUCUGCAGAACGAGACAUCAUCAAGGACAGUGCUGAGCAAGACACAAAGAAAAGAAGCAUUCCUG